UACGAAGGGGCUAGCGUUGCUCGGAAUCACUGGGCGUAAAGGGUGCGUAGGCGGGUCUUUAAGUCAGGGUGAAAUCCUGGAGCUCAACUCCAGAACUGCCUUUGAUACUGAGGAUCUUGAGUUCGGGAGAGGUGAGUGGAACUGCGAGUGUAGAGGUGAAAUUCGUAGAUAUUCGCAAGAACACCAGUGGCGAAGGCGGCUCACUGGCCCGAUACUGACGCUGAGGAGCGAAAGCGUGGGGAGCGAACAGG
This 251-nucleotide ribosomal RNA is filed under the name uncultured bacterium. RNAcentral's name for it is "partial 16S ribosomal RNA". It matches the Rfam family "Bacterial small subunit ribosomal RNA", at positions 524 to 776 of the family's 1533-position model. The record is from RNAcentral.